Molecule: ribosomal RNA, 495 nt
Filed under: uncultured bacterium
Lineage: Bacteria
Description: bacterial SSU rRNA
Rfam family: Bacterial small subunit ribosomal RNA
Source: RNAcentral
GAUCAUGGCUCAGAUUGAACGCUGGCGGCAUGCUUUACACAUGCAAGUCGAACGGUAACAGGUCUUCGGAUGCUGACGAGUGGCGAACGGGUGAGUAAUGUAUCGGAACGUGCCCAGUAGUGGGGGAUAACUACUCGAAAGAGUGGCUAAUACCGCAUGAGAACUGAGGUUGAAAGCGGGGGACCUUCGGGCCUCGCGCUACUGGAGCGGCCGAUAUCAGAUUAGGUAGUUGGUGGGGUAAAGGCCUACCAAGCCGACGAUCUGUAGCUGGUCUGAGAGGACGACCAGCCACACUGGGACUGAGACACGGCCCAGACUCCUACGGGAGGCAGCAGUGGGGAAUUUUGGACAAUGGACGCAAGUCUGAUCCAGCAAUGCCGCGUGCAGGACGAAGGCCUUCGGGUUGUAAACUGCUUUUGUACAGAACGAAAAGGCUCUGGUUAAUACCUGGGGCUCAUGACGGUACUGUAAGAAUAAGCACCGGCUAACUACGUG